GACGAACGCUGGCGGCGUGCUUAACACAUGCAAGUCGAACGGAAAGGCCCUGCUUGCCGGGUACUCGAGUGGCGAACGGGUGAGUAACACGUGGGUGAUAUGCCCUGCACUUCGGGAUAAGCCUGGGAAACUGGGUCUAAUACCGGAUAGGAGCCAUUUUUAGUGUGAUGGUUGGAAAGUUUUUUCGGUGUAGGAUGAGCUCGCGGCCUAUCAGCUUGUUGGUGGGGUAAUGGCCUACCAAGGCGGCGACGGGUAGCCGGCCUGAGAGGGUGGACGGCCACAUUGGGACUGAGAUACGGCCCAGACUCCUACGGGAGGCAGCAGUGGGGAAUAUUGCACAAUGGGCGCAAGCCUGAUGCAGCGACGCCGCGUGGGGGAUGACGGCCUUCGGGUUGUAAACUCCUUUCGCUAGGGACGAAGCUUUUUGUGACGGUACCUAGAGAAGAAGCACCGGCUAACUACGUG
Molecule: ribosomal RNA, 465 nt
Filed under: uncultured bacterium
Lineage: Bacteria
Description: partial 16S ribosomal RNA
Rfam family: Bacterial small subunit ribosomal RNA
Source: RNAcentral